AUUUAUUAAAUUAUUGAAAAUGUACUGCAGUAGACAGUUUCAGGAUUGAUACCCAAUGAUCCCCAACCUCUUGGUUUUCCCUCCUUGUGCAUCACUUCCCUUCAGUAUGGGCUGGACUUAACCCAGUGACUCACUUCUAACCAAAAGAACAUGGCAAGGAUGAUAGAAUGCCACUUGCAAGGUUUAGUUAUAAAAUUUGUGACUUCAACCUAUCUCUCUCUCUCUCUUGCUCUCUCUGACUCUUUUCAGUCUUAUGAAGCAAGCUGCCUACAGAAAUGUCCAUGUGUCAGGAAACUGAAGCUGGCUCAUGGUCAGCAGCCAGCAAGCUACAAAGGGCUUCCAACAGCCCAUGAAGCACUGAGUCCUGCCAAAAGCCACGUGCAUGAGCUUAGAAGAGCUUCAUCCUCCAGGCUAGGAAAGAGACAGUCGGUGUGCAGCAAGAGAAAAGAGAGGAGGAAACAUGUGGAAAGACCCAAAGAAUGAAGACACAAGAGCAUGCCUGAAUGCAAUGGGAAGUAGAUCAGUUGACCUUUGCUGAAUAACAAGGUGGACCUAAAACUGGGUGACUUGAAACAGUAACCUGGUACCAUCUUGAAGAGAACUCCAAAACCGUAGAGUUUAUCACCUCAGAGUCCUGCCUGGAACAAAAAUCACUGAUGAACUUUGAGUUCUAUUACAGACCCUGUGUAGUGAGGUGAGUAUUAAAGCCAGGCCUUGAUAAAAGGAUAAAUAACUUCUUGAGUUUCUGUAGAUUCAGCAGGGAUCAGAAGCCCAGCAGAGCUGACUUUCCGUAUGACUGAGGUGGAGAGAAUUCAAGCUAUGACACAGUGAAGGCUGAAAUGUGCUUCUUCUGGCCUCAACAACAUUUAGAAAAGAGCUCAGUGACAGAAAAAGAUAUGGGAAUUGAGAUAAUGGGGUCCUCGUUUCUCCUCAGCUUGGGAUUUGGACUGGGAAACAAGGAAGUUUUAAAAAGAUUCAGGAAGGUUUGGGGAACUCAGAACGUGGGGAAAUGGAUGACAUCCUUCUCCAGGCCACCAGUCCCCAGGAGAAGCACUCCACAAGGACACCUUCAGCAUGGGCAGAGCAGGGAGAUCUAUUUCUCAAGUGAAAGGUAACUGAAACUGUCAUGCAUGAAACAAGCCCAAGCAAGCAGCUGCAGUUGCAUGGUCAGCUGAGCCAAGGGCAGAGAGAUGAGCCAGAUGGGCUUCCCGCCCCUGGAGGGAGCCCCCAUCCCCAGAGGGCAGACUCUGACACUCCUUCCCAGGUUCUUGGGGCAUCACCAAAAAGAGUGGAAAUCCCUACAUGUUUUAUCUCCAAGGGUCUCUAACCUUCUGUAACACUGCUCUGUGAAUGCAAUGAGACCAUGUAAGAAAAGCACUGAGUAAAACCAAGAGCCUCAUGUUUUGUUGCUAUGCUGAUUUUAAUCUUUGAAGGUAAAGGGCCCUUGUAUCUGACCUGCAAAGCACUUGGGCUGCUGGCUUUGCAAGGCAUUGGCAAGAAUAAUACCUAAGGUACAGCUUCAAGAAGGUGGCUUUGUUUUCUCCUCUGAGAAUAAGGGACUGAAAAAG
RNAcentral lists this long non-coding RNA (1568 nucleotides) under Homo sapiens (human). RNAcentral's name for it is "HSALNT0069170". The record is from RNAcentral. Lineage: Eukaryota; Metazoa; Chordata; Mammalia; Primates; Hominidae.